This 341-nucleotide unclassified non-coding RNA is filed under the name soil metagenome. RNAcentral describes it as "partial contains 5.8S ribosomal RNA, internal transcribed spacer 2, and large subunit ribosomal RNA". The stretch from base 1 to 120 matches the Rfam family "5.8S ribosomal RNA", at positions 35 to 154 of the family's 154-position model. The record is from RNAcentral.
GAUGAAGAACGCAGCGAAAUGCGAUAAGUAGUGUGAAUUGCAGAAUUCAGUGAAUCAUCGAAUCUUUGAACACACAUUGCGCCCUUUGGUAUUCCAAAGGGCAUGCCUGUUCGAGCGUCAUUUGUACCCUCAAGCUUUGCUUGGUGUUGGGCGUCUUGUCUCUAGCUUUGCUGGAGACUCGCCUUAAAGUAAUUGGCAGCCGGCCUACUGGUUUCGGAGCGCAGCACAAGUCGCACUCUCUAUCAGCAAAGGUCUAGCAUCCAUUAAGCCUUUUUUUCAACUUUUGACCUCGGAUCAGGUAGGGAUACCCGCUGAACUUAAGCAUAUCAAUAAGCGGAGGA